GAUGAACGCUGGCGGCGUGCCUAACACAUGCAAGUCGAACGGGGUCAUUAAGGAAAAAUCCUUCGGGAUUCGGAAUUCUUGACCUAGUGGCGGACGGGUGAGUAACGCGUGAGCAAUCUGCCUUUGGAUGGGGGAUAACAGCCGGAAACGACUGCUAAUACCGCAUAAUGCAGCAGGACCGCAUGAUUUUGCUGCCAAAGAUUUAUCGUCCAAAGAUGAGCUCGCGUCUGAUUAGCCAGUUGGCGGGGUAACGGCCCACCAAAGCGACGAUCAGUAGCCGGACUGAGAGGUUGAACGGCCACAUUGGGACUGAGACACGGCCCAG
This 325-nucleotide ribosomal RNA is filed under the name uncultured bacterium. RNAcentral's name for it is "bacterial SSU rRNA". It matches the Rfam family "Bacterial small subunit ribosomal RNA", at positions 28 to 334 of the family's 1533-position model. The record is from RNAcentral.